This 430-nucleotide unclassified non-coding RNA is filed under the name Hevea brasiliensis (rubber tree). Lineage: Eukaryota; Viridiplantae; Streptophyta; Magnoliopsida; Malpighiales; Euphorbiaceae. The record is from RNAcentral.
CUUGUACCCAUUCUCUAGGGGAAAAAAUGCACAGAAAGAAAUGCUGGACUCUUAAAAGUUGCUCUGCAUAAUAUAAUAACAAGCUAAUUUCUAUGCAUAAAUUUGGAGAAUUAAGCAUAUACCAUUGAUGAUUCUGUGUUGGCUAAAGGCUCAGAACUUGGGAGCUGUAACUCGAACCAUGGAAGGCUAAACAAGGGAUCUCAGAGGAAAUUAAGCAAUACCACAACCAAGUACGCUGAUUCCUGAACAAGGACAAGGCCAAAAUUAAGCAGAACAGAGUUCAGACACUAUUCUAUUCCAUUCAGUCAAAAUGAACAGUUGAAUGACUGAAAACUUCCAUCAUUUGUGGGUUUAUCUAGAACUGCAUUAGUAUUAUAUAUGAGAAAAGAAAAACCAAAAUUAAGGUCAAGAGAUGAGAGAGGGUUGAAAU